RNAcentral lists this ribosomal RNA (329 nucleotides) under uncultured Comamonadaceae bacterium. RNAcentral describes it as "bacterial SSU rRNA". It matches the Rfam family "Bacterial small subunit ribosomal RNA", at positions 33 to 366 of the family's 1533-position model. The record is from RNAcentral. Lineage: Bacteria; Pseudomonadati; Pseudomonadota; Betaproteobacteria; Burkholderiales; Comamonadaceae.
ACGCUGGCGGCAUGCCUUACACAUGCAAGUCGAACGGUAACAGGUCUUCGGAUGCUGACGAGUGGCGAACGGGUGAGUAAUACAUCGGAACGUGCCCGAGAGUGGGGGAUAACGAAGCGAAAGCUUUGCUAAUACCGCAUACGAUCUCAGGAUGAAAGCAGGGGACCGCAAGGCCUUGCGCUCACGGAGCGGCCGAUGGCAGAUUAGGUAGUUGGUGGGAUAAAAGCUUACCAAGCCGACGAUCUGUAGCUGGUCUGAGAGGACGACCAGCCACACUGGGACUGAGACACGGCCCAGACUCCUACGGGAGGCAGCAGAAGGGCGAAUUC